UGCCAGCAGCCGCGGUAAUACGGAGGGGGUUAGCGUUAUCCGGAAUCAUUGGGUUUAAAGGGUCCGUAGGCGGUCUGGUGAGUCAGAGGUGAAAUCCUGCAGCUCAACUGUAGCAUUGCCUUUGAUACUGCCAGACUUGAGUUAUUGUGAAGUAGUUAGAAUGUGUAGUGUAGCGGUGAAAUGCAUAGAUAUUACACAGAAUACCGAUUGCGAAAGCAGAUUACUAACAAUAUACUGACGCUGAGGGACGAAAGCGUGGGUAGCGAACAGGAUUAGAUA
This 279-nucleotide ribosomal RNA is filed under the name uncultured bacterium. Its description in RNAcentral is "partial 16S ribosomal RNA". It matches the Rfam family "Bacterial small subunit ribosomal RNA", at positions 506 to 784 of the family's 1533-position model. The record is from RNAcentral.